CAGAUUAAAAUCCCAAAUUGAAGGGGGGAACGUAGGGAAAUAUAUAUUUUUUCCCAGUCCUGCAUUUAAUGCUACGUGUGGAUGAUGUCUUAUUUAAAACCUCUGAGCACUUCUGUUAAAGAACAACAUCACGCCCCCUUAAGUGCGCAGUUGCUGAAGGAUGUCAUUGCAACCUAGUAGGCGAGCCGAUGCCUAUGUCUGCGUACAGCCGACUUCAGCAUUUAAUAUUGACGAUUAAACGAAUAUAUUGAUGUUUAAAGCUUCCAGAAACGCGAGAGGCAUCCUUUCAGAUCUAAAGCAGUAAAGCCUCACGCACUUUCAGAAGUUGCGCUGUUAUUUCAGUACCAUCGUCAUCAUCAUUACACAAUAUAAAGCGGAACAGGCGUUUCGGCGUUAUGAAGCAAAACUUCGCAGAAACGAGGAGCCGGCUCGAUGCCUUUCAUAAACAUCACCUGAUUGUCAACGUGACUGGACGGAUUGAGAGGCAGAGAGAGAGAGAGAGAGAGAGAGAGAGAGAGAGAGAGAGGAAGACUGACAAAGAGGAGAGAGAGAUGGCGCUGUAUUGGUGGUCCAAUUGGUGCUUUCUGGGUCACAGGCGAUUGGAGCAUUGGAGGGAUGCUUGUAUGUCUUUGAAUGCAGUAUGACCAGUUAAAGAGGCUGUCAGGGUGAACGAGCACUGCCUAGGGCACAUUAUCCAACUUAAGAGCUGCAGAGAAAUGUUCGACUCCUGGUUUUCUUAUUGGACAUGGUAAGUAUAUAAUAUCUCAUCAUGCAUCAUGUCAUAUCAUAUAAUUUCAUAUUAUGUAUCAUAUAUCAUAUCAUAUCUCAUCAUGUCAUACCCUUUAAGGGAAAAAAAAAGUGAAAAAUGUCUGAAGAUUUCUGGGCUAAUUUGUAUUCUCUUGUUCAGAAAAAAAAUCUUUUAAAGUGGUUUAAGCAUAAUUCUUUAUUUAUUUUUUUUAGUGGCAUUAAAUGCAAUUGCAGAAGUAAUCAUUAUUUCAAACAAGCUUCUGAAAGGCUUCCUCCAUCAGCCAUAUUCUGAUAAACAGGUAGUCCUGUUCCAAACUCAUGCCACUAGUUGUGGUUUACAGUGAGCCAUCUCAAGGUUUUCUAACCGAGUAACCUCAGUGGACCACAGUCACAUUGUUAUUUGCCAUUUUCAGAGCCCAGUGCUGCUAUAGAGACAGGUGUGAUUUCUCAGGACAGCCAUUUUAGUAAUAUGUAGCUGUACAAAAAAAAUCUGAAUUGCUUACAGGACCUUUAAUAAGGUUUGCCGGCUGCUAGUGCUGUGCUAUUUUGAAUAGUGUAUUUUAUACAAGAUGAUAUUUUCUGUCCAAUUAAACUGACAAAUCAGAACACCAAAGCUAGUGCCAGUUAACAGAAGACAGUUAACUGUCACUUUGUGUGGAAAUCAUGGCUACAUUUCUCUCCUCUUAUCCAUGCUGAGUGACUUAGGCCAUUAAAUCAGGCACCUCCUGUGGAUUCCAGGGUGUAAGAAACUGAUAAUAAGGUGUAAUAAUACACCGUCAGUCAAAUGUGCAUGAGAUUCUUAGCAUUCAGAUGAGACCUUAUGCAAGCCGCUAGAGGAAAGUAAGAAUGACAGUAGUGCACAGCAUUUUGCUACAGGCCGGAUACAAGGAAAUAAAAUACAUGCCUCCAGCACAAACAGUCAACAACAUAUUUCUUAGUCUGAAUAUAGCUACUAACCCUAAGGUUUUAAAAGUACAGGUGACCUAAAAUGAAUAAUCUGUCAUCAUUUUUUCAUUCUCAUGUUGUUUCAAAUUCAUAACUUUCUUCUGUGGAACAGAAAGAUGAUGUUUUGAAAAAUGUUUCUAUCCAUAUAGACAAUAGGGUCUAAUGGAGUUGUUUUGGUUUCAAUGCAUGGACAAAAAUGUCUUUUGUGUUCCACAAGUCAUCCUUGAUUGACUCAAAUAUGCUGCCAGUUACUUAUAUGAUGGAUCAGUUUUAAAACUAAAACUAGUUUUUUUCCAAUUCAAAUAAAGCUGAUUUAAAAUAGAUUUAUAUAAAAUAUUAAAUGGAAAAACAAUAACGUAAAACAAAUCAGAAACGAUUCCUUUGGUUUCCUUUAUUCCUUUGGAAUAAAGCUGAAAUUCCUUUGGAAUAAAGCUGAAAUUCAAACGUUAAAGUACUACAAUUCCUAAAAUUGAAAUAAAUUCAAGCUAAAUAAAUUAAAUGGCUAAAAUGACAAAAGCACAUAUAAUGCUAUUUAUACAGCUAACUGUAAAAAGUUUAAGAUGAGGUACUAAAAUGACUUAAACUGGAAAAAAAAUCUAUAUAGAAAUAUGAAAAACAAGCGAAUAAAAAUGACAA
Molecule: long non-coding RNA, 2328 nt
Organism: Carassius auratus (goldfish)
Lineage: Eukaryota; Metazoa; Chordata; Actinopteri; Cypriniformes; Cyprinidae
Exons: 4
Source: RefSeq, a predicted model, not a curated record